Neltuma alba is the source of this 86-nucleotide long non-coding RNA. RefSeq lists it as uncharacterized. Lineage: Eukaryota; Viridiplantae; Streptophyta; Magnoliopsida; Fabales; Fabaceae. The transcript has 3 exons. The record is from RefSeq and is a predicted model, not a curated record.
GAGAUUUUACAUCUGCUGAAGGAAAUCUUCUCUUUGAGCUAGCAUUUGACAUUGGAAUAUAAUCUUCACUAUCACCUUUGAAGGAG